GGAGGGUGCGAGCGUUAAUCGGAAUUACUGGGCGUAAAGCGCGCGUAGGCGGCUUGGUCAGUCGGAUGUGAAAGCCCCGGGCUUAACCUGGGAAUUGCAUUCGAUACUGCCAGACUAGAGUAUGGGAGAGGGUAGCGGAAUUUCCGGUGUAGCGGUGAAAUGCGUAGAUAUCGGAAGGAACACCAGUGGCGAAGGCGGCUUCCUGGCCCAAUACUGACGCUGAGGUGCGAAAGCGUGGGGAGCGAACAGGGAUUAGAUACCCUGGUAGUCCACGCCGUAAACGAUGAGAACUAGAUGUCGGGAGGAUUUGCCUCUCGGUGUCGCAGCUAACGCGUUAAGUUCUCCGCCUGGGGAGUACGCCGGCAACGGUA
This 371-nucleotide ribosomal RNA is filed under the name uncultured organism. Its description in RNAcentral is "partial 16S ribosomal RNA". It matches the Rfam family "Bacterial small subunit ribosomal RNA", at positions 527 to 896 of the family's 1533-position model. The record is from RNAcentral.